CCUACGGGAGGCUGCAGUGAGGAAUAUUGGUCAAUGGGCGAGAGCCUGAACCAGCCAAGUCGCGUGAGGGAGUACUGCCCUAUGGGUUGUAAACCUCUUUUGUCGGGGAGCAAAAGCCGGACGUGUCCGGCUGUGAGAGUACCCGAAGAAAAAGCAUCGGCUAACUCCGUGCCAGCAGCCGCGGUCAUACGGGGGAUGCGAGCGUUAUCCGGAUUUAUUGGGUUUAAAGGGUGCGCAGGCGGAUUUUUAAGUCAGCGGUAAAAUCGUGGGGCUCAACCCCAUCCAGCCGUUGAAACUGGGGAUCUAGAGUGUGCGAGAGGUAUGCGGAAUGCGUGGUGUAGCGGUGAAAUGCAUAGAUAUCACGCAGAACCCCGAUUGCGAAGGCAGCAUACCGGUGCACAACUGACGCUCAGGCACGAAGGCGUGGGUAUCGAACAGGAUUAGAUACCCCAGUAGUC
This 458-nucleotide ribosomal RNA is filed under the name uncultured bacterium. RNAcentral's name for it is "partial 16S ribosomal RNA". It matches the Rfam family "Bacterial small subunit ribosomal RNA", at positions 338 to 795 of the family's 1533-position model. The record is from RNAcentral.